CAGUCGCCGCGGUAAUACGUAGGUCCCGAGCGUUGUCCGGAUUUAUUGGGCGUAAAGCGAGCGCAGGCGGUUAGAUAAGUCUGAAGUUAAAGGCUGUGGCUUAACCAUAGUACGCUUUGGAAACUGUUUAACUUGAGUGCAAGAGGGGAGAGUGGAAUUCCAUGUGUAGCGGUGAAAUGCGUAGAUAUAUGGAGGAACACCGGUGGCGAAAGCGGCUCUCUGGCUUGUAACUGACGCUGAGGCUCGAAAGCGUGGGGAGCAAACAGGAUUAGAUACCCCAGUAGUCCCUGUCUCUUAUACC
RNAcentral lists this ribosomal RNA (301 nucleotides) under uncultured bacterium. RNAcentral describes it as "partial 16S ribosomal RNA". It matches the Rfam family "Bacterial small subunit ribosomal RNA", at positions 509 to 808 of the family's 1533-position model. The record is from RNAcentral.